GGAGCUGUGCCUGAAAUAAAGGGCCACUUUGAUAGAGUGAACUAUGAGGGUUAAAGUCCCUCCAUCUCCU
This 70-nucleotide transfer RNA is filed under the name Epibulus insidiator (slingjaw wrasse). Its description in RNAcentral is "tRNA-Ile". It matches the Rfam family "tRNA". From Rfam's summary of the family: Transfer RNA (tRNA) molecules are approximately 80 nucleotides in length. Lineage: Eukaryota; Metazoa; Chordata; Actinopteri; Labriformes; Labridae. The record is from RNAcentral.